Pseudophryne corroboree (corroboree frog) is the source of this 746-nucleotide long non-coding RNA. RefSeq lists it as uncharacterized. The record is from RefSeq and is a predicted model, not a curated record. The transcript has 3 exons. NCBI's taxonomy places the organism in Eukaryota, Metazoa, Chordata, Amphibia, Anura, Myobatrachidae.
UUAAGUUGACUUAUUGCAGAUUGCCUUCUGCUGUGGCUGAACACUAGGUUUGUGUAAUAAAUUUUAAAAGUGUUAGCAGAGCUAACAGAUGUUUCCAUUCAAUUCUUAAUUAGUAAGGGUAUAUAUUAUUCACCUACUGGACAUUGGACUUAUGCUCCUGAGGAAGCUGGCAUCCAUUAGACCAGCGAAACGCGUUGAGCCUUCCUUGUAGGACCACAGGUACUAGCACCCCAUCCACCUCCUGGCGAUAUUUGGACUCAUCUGCUUCCACUGGAUUAAAAAUUCCGACACAAGCUCUCUUACAGACCCGGAUAUAUCCCUAAUUGCCAUCUGGACUCCAUUUGCUUGGGACUCCUAGGGGAUUUCUUUAUCCGGAAGCAAGUCUGGUCUUCUCCCUUUCGGACGCCAGCGAGAGGACUAUGGCAUGGAUCUUGAUUCACCACUAUGAAUUUACGAAUACAGUAUUAUGAUAAACAAUCUCCGACAAUAUACAUUAAUGGAAAUCAAUCAAGGAAAUAAAAGGCGUUUAUUUAACUGGAACUUGCGAAUGAAGUCAUUCUUCACCAGAUCGAUCUCCACUUCCCGUUAACAAAGUCUUCUCCCUUUCGGACGCCAGCGAGAGGACUAUGGCAUGGAUCUUGAUUCACCACUAUGAAUUUACGAAUACAGUAUUAUGAUAAACAAUCUCCGACAAUAUACAUUAAUGGAAAUCAAUCAAGGAAAUAAAAGGCGUUUAUUUAACUGGA